This 379-nucleotide ribosomal RNA is filed under the name Sania sp. 3 JCB-2006. RNAcentral's name for it is "partial 16S ribosomal RNA". Lineage: Eukaryota; Metazoa; Arthropoda; Insecta; Hymenoptera; Braconidae. The record is from RNAcentral.
AAUAUAUUAAAUAGCUGCAGUAUAAAUAACUGUACUAAGGUAGCAUAAUAAUUAGUUUUUUAAUUGAAAACUAGAAUGAAAGAUUUAAUGAAAUAAAUACUGUCUCAAUUUAAAUAAAUAAACUUUUUAUUUAAGUAAAAAAUCUUAAAUAAAAUUAAAAGACGAGAAGACCCUAUAGAAUUUUAUAUUUAUUUUAUAUUAACAAAUAAAUUAAUUUAAUUUAAAUAUUUAAUUGGGGAGAUUUUAAAAUUAAAAAAACUUUUAAUUAAAUUUACAUAUAUUAAUGAAUAAAAUAUAUUUUUUAAAAAAAUAAAAAAAAAUUACCUUAGGGAUAACAGCAUUAUUUUUUUUUUAAGUUCAUAUUUAUAAAAAAGUUUAU